CUACACGAGGCUCUUCCUAUCAGCAAUAUUAACGUUACUGUCGGUGUCUAGAAGCCACAGAGGCUAACGAUUUAGCAAGCUAGCAAGUGGGUAACGUAAUGCAGGAAAUGCAAAGGCAUAAGAGGAAGAAGAUUAGUCAGUUGGGAAUAUUAACAUUU
Molecule: long non-coding RNA, 158 nt
Organism: Sebastes umbrosus (honeycomb rockfish)
Lineage: Eukaryota; Metazoa; Chordata; Actinopteri; Perciformes; Sebastidae
Exons: 4
Source: RefSeq, a predicted model, not a curated record